GAUGAAGAACGUAGCGAAAUGCGAUAAGUAAUGUGAAUUGCAGAAUUCAGUGAAUCAUCGAAUCUUUGAACGCACAUUGCGCCCCCCAGUAUUCUGGCGGGCAUGCCUGUUCGAGCGUCAUUUCAACCAUCAAGCCCUGCUUGUGUUGGGGUCCUGCGGCUGCCCGCAGGCCCUGAAAACCAGUGGCGGGCUCGCUAGUCACACCGAGCGCAGUAGCACAUCUUGCUCAGGGCGUGCGGCGGGCUCCAGCCGUUAAAGCACCCACCUUUCGCAAGGUUGACCUCGGAUCAGGUAGGAAUACCCGCUGAACUUAAGCAUAUCAAUAAGCGGAGGA
RNAcentral lists this unclassified non-coding RNA (334 nucleotides) under soil metagenome. RNAcentral describes it as "partial contains 5.8S ribosomal RNA, internal transcribed spacer 2, and large subunit ribosomal RNA". The stretch from base 1 to 120 matches the Rfam family "5.8S ribosomal RNA", at positions 35 to 154 of the family's 154-position model. The record is from RNAcentral.